GGUGGCAGAGAAGUCCUGCCGAAACCUCAGGAAGCCUUGCUUAUGUGUGAAGCUUGCCGAGUACAGCAAUACCCUUUUACUGAAGACCAGGAAAUCCCCGAGACGGACUGGGAGGUGUACCUGAGGGAGACUGCAAAUGCUAUUGUCAGUCAGCAGACCCCACAGAGGCUCCUUGAAGUCCGGGGAAGGCUCUAUGAGCUCCUAACUCACUGUAUUCCUCCUGAGAUAAUAAUGAAGGUAAGUGGCCCCGUUUGACAUCUUGAACAUUCAUAACAUAAGCUGGACAUAACAUAAGCCAUGUGAUCACAGUGCUUUUGUAAUGCUAGGAGACACUACCAUCAUUUCUAGCAUUCGGUAAUUGAACAGAUUAAGUCUGUGUGUGCACUAUUAGUGGACCACAGAAGAUGGGAAGGAGGACCUUGGUUGUCAUCAUGUUCUUGGGGGUGACAUGGGAGACAAGAAUAUUUGAUAAUGUUACGAGUCUUUAAAGGAAGGAAAGUGAAAUAAUAAUAAUAAUAAUAAUAAUAAUAAUAAUAAUAAUAAUAAUAAUAAUAAUAAUGGAGCUGAGUUAUACACAGCCAUGAUGGCUGCUCAGGGAAAGGUCUUUUUCAGCUGACAGUCAGCACUAAAAAGAUGGAACUAUAAAAAUGGUUGGGGAACAAGAUGUUCUAGGAAAAACGUGUAUGUGGAGAGAUGAGGCUGAAGAUGUAGGUACAGUCUAGGCUUUAUAGUAUUGGUCUGCUGGCCACUUAGAUAAAUUUAUUGAUUUUAGAUACUAGGGAAUUCAUGGAGUUUGAUUCUAUUAAAAUUACACAGUAAUGUGAACAAACUCAAAUGAUAGCAAAUAGAGAAAGAACAGUGUGGUCUUUUCAAUAUACAGGAGCUAAUGCUUUGAGCAGACUUCUAUUUCACCUAGUAAGAAGUGCUGUGUGUGUGUGUGUGUGUGUGUGUGUGUGUGUAUGUGUGUGUGUAGUCUGCAGUCUGCUCACUGUACUGAAUUUUCAUUCAACAGUAUAGGAUAGGUGAUACCCCAUAGUGUG
This is a long non-coding RNA of Peromyscus leucopus (white-footed mouse), 1040 nucleotides long. RefSeq lists it as uncharacterized. The record is from RefSeq and is a predicted model, not a curated record. Lineage: Eukaryota; Metazoa; Chordata; Mammalia; Rodentia; Cricetidae. The transcript is spliced from 3 exons.